UACGUAGGGGGCAAGCGUUAUCCGGAUUUACUGGGUGUAAAGGGAGCGCAGGCGGCACGGCAAGCCUGAUGUGAAAGCCCGCGGCCCAACCGCGGGACUGCAUUGGGAACUACCGGGCUGGAGUGCCGGAGAGGUAGGCGGAAUUCCUAGUGUAGCGGUGAAAUGCGUAGAUAUUAGGAGGAACACCAGUGGCGAAGGCGGCCUACUGGACGGUGACUGACGCUGAGGCUCGAAAGCGUGGGGAGCAAACGGG
RNAcentral lists this ribosomal RNA (253 nucleotides) under uncultured bacterium. RNAcentral's name for it is "partial 16S ribosomal RNA". It matches the Rfam family "Bacterial small subunit ribosomal RNA", at positions 524 to 776 of the family's 1533-position model. The record is from RNAcentral.